Molecule: long non-coding RNA, 693 nt
Organism: Mya arenaria
Lineage: Eukaryota; Metazoa; Mollusca; Bivalvia; Myida; Myidae
Exons: 3
Source: RefSeq, a predicted model, not a curated record
UUGUGUUGACUGCUACCUUUCCCCCCUGAUAUUUGAGGUUGUUGUGAGAAUAGCAAUCUGCCAGGAUUGCAGCUUUUGGCGCACUUUUAGAGCCUUAUUAUUUUAACUAGUUCCUGGAAGUAUUUCCAUGUUUGUAGUAACCACAGUGACCAGAUUAACAGACACCAUGGGUGAGCGAUGAGAGACAUGUAUACAGUGAGAACACUCAGUUCCAUAAACUUUGUGUUGCUUCGUGCUUCGUGCUUCGUGCUUCAUGUUGAUUCAUGAUUUAUCUGUAUAGAAACGAAGAGAGUAAACUAUGGAAAACAGCUUUUGUUAGUUAUACACACUAGGACAUAAAACGAACCUCGACCGGCUUGGUCUUAUACUCACUAUAACUAUAUGACCUUAAUAAAGGUCAGGGUAAAGGCCAGACCAUUAUAAUGGCGCCCAACGUGAUUUAUUGUGAAAAGUGUGUUUUUCAUAUGGAUUAGAUGAGUGAAAUUUGUGUGGACUACAGAUCAACUGCCACUGUUGGAAACAUAACUAUAGUUUUAAACCUGCAGAUAUCAGGAUUUAACCAAUACACAAUUUGACAAACAUGCCAUGCAUGGAAUUUAAAUUUGGAUUUAAAUGUUAAUGGAUCUAUUGGACAUUCGUUUGCACAAAACCGUUUAGACGUUAGGGAUUGGAAGAAUCCCGUUUAACACGUCU